RNAcentral lists this transfer RNA (69 nucleotides) under Taeniochauliodes attenuatus. RNAcentral's name for it is "tRNA-Pro". The record is from RNAcentral. Lineage: Eukaryota; Metazoa; Arthropoda; Insecta; Megaloptera; Corydalidae.
CAGAGUAUAGUUUAAUCAAAAAAAAUAGUAAUUUUGGGAAUUAUUGAUAAAGAAGGUCUUUUUCUCUGA